This is a long non-coding RNA of Peromyscus eremicus (cactus mouse), 726 nucleotides long. RefSeq lists it as uncharacterized. NCBI's taxonomy places the organism in Eukaryota, Metazoa, Chordata, Mammalia, Rodentia, Cricetidae. The transcript has 2 exons. The record is from RefSeq and is a predicted model, not a curated record.
CCAAAAUUGAUCUCUGUCGUUUUAGACACACAGAGUCCAGGUGCACUCAGGGGCACGCGGAGAAGUGGAAUUGCUCGCUGUGCGUCCAGUCCCCCAGCGCGAAAGAUCGGAACCCUACAGUUCAGGACGCUCCAAGGCUCCAGCGCUCCUUGAGCGCGCGCCUUCCAACGGUCAUCAAGAAACCCCAACGUCUUCUAGCAAAACAAGAGUUAUGCCAAGUUUCCUUGAUGUCAGGGUCCCAGUUUCGUGUCACUCAUCCAACUGUUAUGGCCUUAGAUGAUUGUAAAUCUCACUACAGUACACUUCCCACCCCCAAGGAGAAAAGUACCUCAAACGAAUCAGGAGAGGAAAGUGGGAAAGAGGAGGUAGGCAUGAUCUUCUAUCAAUCCAUCUGCAAUCAUCUUCCCUUACUGCCUACCUGUUAUAUGCCAUGCGCUGUGCCCUGCUUGGAGGUUCAACAAAAUCAACCUGUACUUAUCUCCCACACCACCUCUCAUUGUACUUCCUUUUUGCAUUUGUCUAAGGCCAACGGUGCUCUUUUGACGAGUUGUUUGUACUGAGAUAGUGAGAAAGGCCUAGGUGAGUUAUGGAGUAACAGGAAGCCACCUUAGUUCCAUCCAAAGAGCCCAUGGUAGGAGACAACCAGCUCCAGAAGGUUUUCCUUUGAUCUCCACAUGGGUGCUCUGGCACUUGCAUGCACACACAAUAAUAAAAACGUGAAAUAGA